AGCAAUAUUUACCCAGAAAAGAACUAACCCAAUUCCCAAAUCUUCCGCUUAAAUUUCCUCUUUUCUACCUCAAAUUCGUACAGCAAUAGCGUGCUUGGCAUGAGACCAAACACACGCGGAGCUUCCGGAGGCGACCAUGGUAUGGUCAUGUAAAAUUUCUUUGUUUCUUUUGAAUUUCAUUUCAUAUUUGUACGAUUCGACCUCACUGGAGUCUGAGCCUCUAAGAAAAAUUUUCAAAAUAUUGGCUUCUCUCACAUAGAAAGUAUUCUCAGAAUUUGGAGGUUUUGGGUGCUAUAAAAGCCCCUCUCCUCACUGUUCAAGCGAGGUUUUUGGACUCGAGAGUAGUACCCCUAUAAUGUUUGGGACUUCUCAGUUCAAUAAUUUAAAGUUUUGUGGUUGUUCGAGUUGAAGAGGUGGAAUCGUUUCUAUUCAAACUCGUUGUUCGGUUCGCUGCUUGGAGCUAGUGGCAUCCGAAUGAGUCCGAUGGACUCCCCUCUCUUGCAUUUCCCUCUUCUUCAAGUUGACCUCCAUUCGAGUUACGAAAGGGAAGCAUUAAUUAAUGGGUCAAAACCCAAUCAGUGGCAGCAACUAAGUGGCGCAGUAAUAAAAAUUCAAAUGGCUGGAAAUUGAAUUUUGGAUUUAAGAAUCCAAUUUGAUUAUUGCAGUAGUAGCAGCAGACCCAAGGGGACUUAAAUUGAAUCUUUGGACUUAAAUAAUUCCUACUUGAGUAAUCAGCAGCAGCAGGAGGAACCAGAAAGGGGCCAAAAUGCCCUUUUCAUCCGGUUACUUUAUUUCAUUGUUUUUUUUACUUUAUUUGUGAAUAUAUCUUGGUAAUCACUAACUUUUAAUAUUUUAUUUUUGUCAACUUAAAUGAAUCCUUGGAGAAGUUUUUCUA
This is a long non-coding RNA of Solanum pennellii, 895 nucleotides long. RefSeq lists it as uncharacterized. The record is from RefSeq and is a predicted model, not a curated record. The transcript has 2 exons. NCBI's taxonomy places the organism in Eukaryota, Viridiplantae, Streptophyta, Magnoliopsida, Solanales, Solanaceae.